GAUGAAGAACGUAGCGAAAUGCGAUAAGUAGUGUGAAUUGCAGAAUUCAGUGAAUCAUCGAAUCUUUGAACGCACAUUGCGCCUCCUGGUAUUCCGGGAGGCAUGCCUGUUCGAGCGUCAUUAAAAUCACUCAAGCUUAGGUUUACCUAUUGCUUGGUCUUGGAGAUGGAAGCCAAUUUAUUGGAAUCCUCUUCGAAAUUCAAUGGCGAAGACCCUUGCUCUCCCAAGUGUAGUAAUAACUUAUGUCACUGAAGGAAGCGAGAAAUCUUCUGCCGUAACCCCCAUAUUUUCUAUGAUUGACCUCGGAUCAGGUAGGGAUACCCGCUGAACUUAAGCAUAUCAAUAAGCGGAGA
This 353-nucleotide unclassified non-coding RNA is filed under the name soil metagenome. Its description in RNAcentral is "partial contains 5.8S ribosomal RNA, internal transcribed spacer 2, and large subunit ribosomal RNA". The stretch from base 1 to 120 matches the Rfam family "5.8S ribosomal RNA", at positions 35 to 154 of the family's 154-position model. The record is from RNAcentral.